RNAcentral lists this ribosomal RNA (555 nucleotides) under Penicillium citrinum. RNAcentral describes it as "eukaryotic LSU rRNA". The stretch from base 172 to 325 matches the Rfam family "5.8S ribosomal RNA". Lineage: Eukaryota; Fungi; Ascomycota; Eurotiomycetes; Eurotiales; Aspergillaceae. The record is from RNAcentral.
UCCGUAUAAGGGGCCUGCGGAAGGAUCAUUACCGAGUGCGGGCCCCUCGGGGCCCAACCUCCCACCCGUGUUGCCCGAACCUAUGUUGCCUCGGCGGGCCCCGCGCCCGCCGACGGCCCCCCUGAACGCUGUCUGAAGUUGCAGUCUGAGACCUAUAACGAAAUUAGUUAAAACUUUCAACAACGGAUCUCUUGGUUCCGGCAUCGAUGAAGAACGCAGCGAAAUGCGAUAACUAAUGUGAAUUGCAGAAUUCAGUGAAUCAUCGAGUCUUUGAACGCACAUUGCGCCCUCUGGUAUUCCGGAGGGCAUGCCUGUCCGAGCGUCAUUGCUGCCCUCAAGCCCGGCUUGUGUGUUGGGCCCCGUCCCCCCCGCCGGGGGGACGGGCCCGAAAGGCAGCGGCGGCACCGCGUCCGGUCCUCGAGCGUAUGGGGCUUCGUCACCCGCUCUAGUAGGCCCGGCCGGCGCCAGCCGACCCCCAACCUUUAAUUAUCUCAGGUUGACCUCGGAUCAGGUAGGGAUACCCGCUGAACUUAAGCAUAUCAAAACGGGAGAGAG